UGCUUCAUAGCUCAGUUGGUUAGAGUUUGGUGCUGAUAACACCAAGGUUACAGGUUUGAUCCUGUUUGGGACAG
Podarcis lilfordi (Lilford's wall lizard) is the source of this 74-nucleotide non-coding RNA. The record is from the annotation of a GenBank genome assembly. Lineage: Eukaryota; Metazoa; Chordata; Lepidosauria; Squamata; Lacertidae.